This 898-nucleotide unclassified non-coding RNA is filed under the name Hevea brasiliensis (rubber tree). The record is from RNAcentral. Lineage: Eukaryota; Viridiplantae; Streptophyta; Magnoliopsida; Malpighiales; Euphorbiaceae.
GCCUAGAACAAAGGCGCACACUUAAGCGCAUAAGACGCUAGGGUUCAAGCCUGAUGAGUCUUGAGCUUGAGGCGUACCUCAGGCACGCCUGUGAUAACUAUGCUAGGAUGAGUAUAUUGUUUAACCAUGAUAUUCCCCUUCAUCAAUUUUUGUAAUAAGACGCAUCUCAAAGACAACAAUAUCAUGCAUCAUGAUAAAAAACUUAUCCCCUCCAGAGGAAUAGUAUUGCAUUAUUGUUUGGAUCCUAAUUUUAGACAACAAUUGUCCCAUUCUGAUCAAAUUUAGUCAAAAUUCACUUCCAGAGAGAUCAAAGGCCUCAUAAACUUCUAAUAAUUUUUGCAUUAAAGAAAUUCAAUAUAGCAACUAAUAUUGCUAUGAGAGACUGUCUAAUUUAACAAUUGUAACAUAUAGUAUGCCUUUAAACAAUUCAUCACAUUUUUUCAUUAAAUAUAACAAAUAGAAAUGGCAAUGCAUAAAAACAGAAAUGCCACCUACCCCUGCUUGUACUGAAAAUGAAGAUUAAAAACCAACUUAUUUGGAAAAGGUUGGUUGAGAAGAAAUCAGUCAGUAAGUUUCGAGAUUUAAAUUAAUGGUUUGAAAUAAAAAAACAGGCUAUUCAUAAACUCAACGCAAUGAGAAUGGCAUGUAAGGAACUGAUGCAUCUUCAUCAAUAUAAUGGUAUUAAAACUGGAUUGAAGUGGAGUUUCAUCAUUCAAUGUUUAUCAAAUAGAAACUCAAACCAUAUUCAUUUUUUAUGUUAACAAAAUGGCCCCCUUCCACCAAAAUUGCAACAACACCAAUUCCAUUUCUUACCAAAACCAAGCCCUUUUCACUAUAACGGAAAAAAUCACAUUGUGAUGCACAAGCAAAUAAAACCAAGCCUUUUCAUUAGAACAAA